GACGAACGCUGGCGGCGUGCUUAACACAUGCAAGUCGAACGGAAAGGCCCUGCUUGCCGGGUACUCGAGUGGCGAACGGGUGAGUAACACGUGGGUGAUCUGCCCUGCACUUCGGGAUAAGCCUGGGAAACUGGGUCUAAUACCGGAUAGGAGCCAUUUUUAGUGUGAUGGUUGGAAAGUUUUUUCGGUGUAGGAUGAGCUCGCGGCCUAUCAGCUUGUUGGUGGGGUAAUGGCCUACCAAGGCGGCGACGGGUAGCCGGCCUGAGAGGGUGGACGGCCACAUUGGGACUGAGAUACGGCCCAGACUCCUACGGGAGGCAGCAGGGGGGAAUGUUGCACAAUGGGCGCAAGCCUGAUGCAGCGACGCCGCGUGGGGGAUGACGGCCUUCGGGUUGUAAACUCCUUUCGCUAGGGACGAAGCUUUUUGUGACGGUACCUAGAUAAGAAGCACCGGCUAACUACGUG
Molecule: ribosomal RNA, 465 nt
Filed under: uncultured bacterium
Lineage: Bacteria
Description: partial 16S ribosomal RNA
Rfam family: Bacterial small subunit ribosomal RNA
Source: RNAcentral